RNAcentral lists this ribosomal RNA (453 nucleotides) under uncultured bacterium. Its description in RNAcentral is "bacterial SSU rRNA". It matches the Rfam family "Bacterial small subunit ribosomal RNA", at positions 340 to 786 of the family's 1533-position model. The record is from RNAcentral.
UACGGGAGGCAGCAGUGGGGAAUAUUGCACAAUGGGCGCAAGCCUGAUGCAGCCAUGCCGCGUGUAUGAAGAAGGCCUUCGGGUUGUAAAGUACUUUCAGUCGUGAGGAAGGUGUUAAGGUUAAUAACCUUAGCAAUUGACGUUAGCGACAGAAGAAGCACCGGCUAACUCCGUGCCAGCAGCCGCGGUAAUACGGAGGGUGCGAGCGUUAAUCGGAAUUACUGGGCGUAAAGGGCACGCAGGCGGUUAAUUAAGUUGGAUGUGAAAUCCCCGGGCUUAACCUGGGAAUGGCAUUCAAGACUGGUUAGCUAGAGUCUUGUAGAGAGGGGUAGAAUUCCAUGUGUAGCGGUGAAAUGCGUAGAGAUGUGGAGGAAUACCGGUGGCGAAGGCGGCCCCUGGACAAAGACUGACGCUCAUGUGCGAAAGCGUGGGGAGCAAACAGGAUUAGAUACC